Molecule: unclassified non-coding RNA, 297 nt
Filed under: Hevea brasiliensis (rubber tree)
Lineage: Eukaryota; Viridiplantae; Streptophyta; Magnoliopsida; Malpighiales; Euphorbiaceae
Source: RNAcentral
GCUCGAGAAAUAUGCCGCCACAAGUGAAUGAACCAGGAUUCGAACUUAAAUCGACCAAAAAUGGACUUAGAGAUUGGUCAUUUGAAAGUGAAUUUCUCAAACAAACUUCAAAUCCUGGCAUUAUAAAAUGAAGAGAGAUGGAACUGGAGCCGUUUGGGAGAUUUCGAAUUUUCAAUGGGAUUGGGUUUUAGAGAGGUGACAGAUUGAAAGAGAAUGGGAGAGGAAGACUAGAAGGUUGAUAAGAAGGGGAAGAUGAAAUGGCGGAUUCCGCUUCGACUCUGCCUUUGUUUCCAUCGC